Molecule: transfer RNA, 71 nt
Organism: Ovis aries (sheep)
Lineage: Eukaryota; Metazoa; Chordata; Mammalia; Artiodactyla; Bovidae
Rfam family: tRNA
About the family: Transfer RNA (tRNA) molecules are approximately 80 nucleotides in length. Their secondary structure includes four short double-helical elements and three loops (D, anti-codon, and T loops). Further hydrogen bonds mediate the characteristic L-shaped molecular structure. tRNAs have two regions of fundamental functional importance: the anti-codon, which is responsible for specific mRNA codon recognition, and the 3' end, to which the tRNAs corresponding amino acid is attached (by aminoacyl-tRNA synthetases). tRNAs cope with the degeneracy of the genetic code in two manners: having more than one tRNA (with a specific anti-codon) for a particular amino acid; and 'wobble' base-pairing, i.e. permitting non-standard base-pairing at the 3rd anti-codon position.
Source: Rfam
UCCCUGAUAGCUCAGUUGGGAAAGAAUCUGCCUGCAUGCAGGAGACCCAGGUUCGAUUCCUGGAUUGGGAA